RNAcentral lists this unclassified non-coding RNA (492 nucleotides) under Hevea brasiliensis (rubber tree). Lineage: Eukaryota; Viridiplantae; Streptophyta; Magnoliopsida; Malpighiales; Euphorbiaceae. The record is from RNAcentral.
GGCCAAAUCACUUUAAAUUUUUAUUAACCAAUACAAUCAACCACAACUUUACCAGAAAGCAAUUUAAAUAUGGGAGUAAAUUUAAAAUAGAUCAUCAAACAGUCCAUUAUAAGGUUCUAUAAUCCUUGGUCGCAUGCAAACAGGCUAAAUUUAAUAAGAUUUAUGUAAGCUCAAUGAAUCAUGAAAAUUACCCUAUAUUGAAACAAGAGAAUAACCAAUUCACCCCACAACACCAUGACAGAAAUCAAAUUAAAAUGCAACGCAAACCCCUUGUUAUAUCACAGUAAAAUGGCAAAACUUAACCUCGGCAAAGGAGAAACUGGAAAGGCAAAACCGAAUUCCAUUUCUCUAUAUCUCUGUGAGCUUGCUUUUAAGUUGAUGAACAAACUAUUUGAUUAACGUCCACAAAAAAACAAGAGCGCAAAUCAAUAAAAUAAGCAUUUAAUUACCCAUUUAAAGAUAAACAAAAUUAAAUUGAACAGCCAGUGUCAC